Long non-coding RNA from Pezoporus occidentalis (night parrot), 4900 nucleotides. RefSeq lists it as uncharacterized. Lineage: Eukaryota; Metazoa; Chordata; Aves; Psittaciformes; Psittacidae. The record is from RefSeq and is a predicted model, not a curated record. The transcript has 4 exons.
AGGGAGAGCACUCACGUGCCAAUUAGCAGAAAGAGAGUGUACAUUCCUGUUAUCAGUCAAAUAAGUUAAUUGGCAAGCGCUCACCUUUCAUUCUAAAGCAUCUGCCUAUUCCUCCCAUUCACGGGUUUUUCUUGUAAAGCAGGCAACCUAAAGAGACAAUUUGUACGGCUUUUCAAACUGAUUUAAAUAUUUUGUUACUUAAGCUUUGCCUUUUCACUGAGUUUGAAUAGGACUUCAAAACCUCGUUAUUUGUUCUGAAAGGAAACCAGUCUGAGGGUUUAUGGAUACCAGCUUGUUGCCGCCUUUAAUUCAGUUCCUGGUGGGAUGCUCUGGGAUUCUUUGUUUUCCUCAUCUUUUCUCCAGACAGCUAAUGUCUUAAGUUGCUGAAACCUGAUUUUAUGCAAACUGCUUCGCCAUUACUUGCAAAUGACUUACAAACUGUAAUGUAGCAAUAAGAUGAAGUGGAAUAUUUUCAUAUCUGGAUUAACUCUGUACUAGACUAUGAACUGAAUCACACCUGAAGAGAAAUAAGAGCUCCUGUGCAGAUGGACUUUGCUAAAGAUGAAGUGACAAGGAACAUCAGAGGAUUUUGGUUCUCACUUGUUAGUGCAUCCAUCUUCUGUUUGGGUUCCCUCUGAGUUCAGCUCUUUUAUCUGUUUUUCAGUUCACACAGAAAAGAGCCCUACUUUGAAACAUUCCAGGUUUGUUUAAGGAAAACAAUGCCCUAUAAACUAUUGCAAUUUUAAUUCCUUUCUAAGAAAAUAAUCUUUCUAACAUGUGAUUUGGGUAACAUUAAUUUUUGCUUACUCUCCCUUUUAAUGCAUGGAACUUUCUUUUCUAUUUAGUACAUGCAUGCAUCUGUCCCCUUUCCAUGUGUUGUAUGUCCUUUCAUUUCAUGCUUCUCUUUUGUAUCAGACCAGCUUUCAUCCAUUUUCCUUUCUCCCUAUGCUCAGCAACAUAUGUAUGCAUGCUUUUCUUUUAACCCAUCUGAGAGCCACAUGCUGUGCACCUGUCUCAGUCAAAUAUGCCUCCUGAGCCUGUGUUGCACAAGACAGAGCUGUUGACAAAGCUAACACCACACUGACAGUCCAGGAAAGAGUAGGGCAGGACCAGCUUUUACUCCUGGGCAGAAAAGCAGAUACUUUCUAGCAUACAGAGAAAUGAAGUUCAGUGACUGGAGGAAAGAAUACAAAGCAGAAAGUGUGGCUUCUAAGCCUCUUUGUGCCAUCAAAUUUUCAAAAACCCUGUAAAAUAAGGCAAGAUCUUCUGUUAGUGCAUAUUGCCAUAAUUGGUGUAAUUUAGAAUAUCUCUACUAUUUUCACUUAAGCUGAGGAUUUAGCACAUUUUGACAGUCUCAGUGACAGAAUAUGUUAUAGAUAUUUGCUUGACAGAAUUUAUACAAUUUAGAAUUGGCUUGCUUGAUUAAUUCUUUGUGCUUGUGCCUGCCCCCUCCACCUACCAUGCUGAGGGCUCUGUCAUUUAGCAUGACUCCAUUAUAUUCUAUUGAGCAGAGGCUGCAGGAGGCCAGACACAUAUGUCCUAGAACCAUAUAAGUGCUAUUUAGCUGAAUGUACUCUGCAAAGCCAGAGGCACUCAAGAAUCUACAGAAACACUCACAUUAGUGACAUAAUACUGAGUGUCUGCACCAUGUUAUGUAAAUGUUCAUUGUGAUGAAGUGUAUGGUGUUUGUUCUCAGCUGGUUGUACUGUUGUAUGUGUAAAGUAGGUUGCUGUUGUUCGCAAUAAUUUACAGCUAAUAGUGUUGACAGUGUUCUUGAUGAAGUUUAAAACAUGUUCAACUGCUGCUGUACUCUUACCACAAUUUUUUACUUUAUAGGACAACUUCCUUAACUUUCUGUAUGCCACUAGAGAGAAGAAUGGAAGGAGUUGUUUGAGGUAUACAAAAUUAAGGGAUGGGCACACAUCCAGGGAAUCUCAGAGGGAAAUAUGGGCAGUGUGCCAUACACUGAACUUGCUACAUAUGCGCACAUCUGAUCUAGCACGCAUACGCUAUGCAGAUGGUUAGCAAUUGCACAGAUCAGCUCCACAAGGCAUGUCCAGAUCCCACUUAUCCUGGGUGUCGGGAAAUCCUGGUCAUAUGGCCAGCCUGUGAUUUCUCUCCUCUUUCUCCUUCCAGUCCUGAAAUUAUGUCUGAGUAGGGAGGAGAAGAAAAAGAGGACAUGCUGAGGAAGAAAGACAUACCAGGCUCUUGUUAAUAUUAAACACGUUGAAAAUGGCUAGGUUACCAUAAACUAAGGAGCUUCAGGACCUCAGAUGAGCUAUAAUCUACUACUGUGUGUGUAUUUUUAGUUUGCUGUUGCAGUGUAAAAUGUAUUCACUUCACUUAAGCUAUGUCAUAAUAACUUGCUGUGAAUACUGAAAUAAAAUGCUAAUUUGAUACAGUUGGAAGAGAGCACAUGGCAAAUUACUGUAAUACCACUGAUGGCUGGUAACUCAUUUGCCUAUGGUAGCUUGAUCAGUUCUGAUCAAAUGCUUUUUCUCUUAAUCUACCUGCUCUUUACUAAUGGGCCUUCUCUAACUAAAACCUGCACAAAUUUUAAGUUCAAUUAAUUUAACUUUAUGAGUUAGAAUGUUUGUCUUAACCAAGUAAGCCAUAAUUAACCAUAAUUAGAAAUAGAAUAUUUCUUAAAUCCUCUUCAUUAAUCAGAGAAACUUAUUUUUCUUCACAAGACUGAAGUUUAGUUUUUCUAAAUAAAAAUAUAAUUCAUUUUACCAAAACACUUCUGCCUAAACAAUCUAUUUGAUACUGUUUUAAAGUAUCAGUCUAAUUUUAGGUGGUCUGACUAUUCUCCCAUUGGUAGAUAGAUUUUUUUUGCAAAUAUUUUGCAUUAAAAAUUGUGAUAAUUCAAAUCAGGAUCCAUAUUUUUCAGAAAAUAAAAGGAUACCAUCCAAGGAACAGAAACCAGCCUGAUCCUCUGCCACUGCAACUUUGCCAUUUACUUUGUUGGCAUCAUAUUGUGUUUUUUUUUUGCAGCUGGUCUUUGAAUGAAUUACCUAAAGGUCACCUAUAGGUGUCUUAGCAGAAUUUCUUUAGUUGCUUCCUGUGACAGUUUGAAAACUAAUGGUAAAUUGGGUUUAGAUGAGACAAGAGCAACUAUGCCUCCAGGAAUAGUUCCUUUCUGUUCCUAAAGAAAAUCUUUCUUUCUGUUCCUAGGAAAAAUAGCAUCAGAUUCAGAUGUCUUUCUCCCAUAAUAUUGUAUUGCCAAUACAAAAUAUUAAAUGAUUUAAAAAAUUAGUGUAUAAAUAUUUAGGGAGUUGGAUCUUUCCUCCAUUACAUUCUGCUUCUGUUUAAUUCUAGGAGUACUCACAGAGCUUCUUGAGACCAUCACUACUCAUAUUUGGGCUAAAUGUUAUUUGUGCAUUGUGUAGAUCUGGCUAAAAAAGAAAAAAAAAAUCAAUGUUUGGAGAAAAUAGAUUUUUUUUCCCCUCUUUUUGUUUCUGCAAGGUAGCCAGUGAAGAAUAAACAACCCUAUCACAGUGAAGAUGGUUUAAAAGAGGGACUUCAAUCAGUAGAAUUAAUAAGGCCUUAUACAAAUGUGAUACCCGCUGUAGUUCUUCUGGUUCUCAAAUGCUGCCAUUUCAACCACAGAAACAGUUUGAAAAUACUUCUCACUUUACUUAAAAGCUUUUAUAUCUGGAUUGCUUGCUUGUAUUGGAAUCCUUAUCCUCACCCCAGAGCACAGUGUUCAGAAUUUCUUCAAAAAUAUUAUCUACUUGAUUCACUUUUUUCUUCUUCCAUUAAUCCUCUCUUUCAUUUUUCACGCUGAAGACCUUUUUUUUCUUCUAAAAUUCAUGGAUUUUGUCCCUGAUUCAUUUCAGACAAUAUACUUUGCAUAUUACUUCUCACUGCAUUUAAUAAUGUCAUCAUUUAUAAACUGUGUAGGCAAUGUAUUCUUGUGCUAAUUCAGUUUUUGUUAACAAGUUAUCAUUUUGGGUACUUUGAGUACAAAUAUAAAAAUUCAGAUAUAUGCUCUAUAGUGUGUACAUAUAUAAAAACUUUCAAGUUGCAGCAAACCAAUGUCUUCUUUUUUCUGACUGUACUCUAUGUGCUUAGACUGCGAUUGCACAGAUGUGCUGCUUUUUUUUUUCCCAUAUCACAUACAUUAUUACUACUAACCUGUAAUCUAGCAAUUAUGCUACAGUUAAAAAUGGCUGUAAUUCUUUCUGAAGUUUAAUGUGAAGACUUUUGAACUGGAAACUGAACCUUAACUUUGAAAAUGCCUUUGUAUUUUAAUUGUAAAUAUGUGAUUAGUAUCACCAAACAAUUCAGGUUGAAAAUGAUCUCUUGAGGUUAUCUGAUUCCACCCCCUGCUCAAAGUUAGCCUAGCUUCAGGAUCAGAGCAACAUACUCAGGGCUUGUACAAUCAAGUUUUGAAUAUCUCCAAAGCUGGAAAUCCCAUAGCCUUUUUGGCUUUCCAGAGCUGACAUGGAAUCACAGAAUAGUUUGGUUUGGAAAGGACCUUCAAAGGUCAUAUAGUCCAACCUCCCUGCAAUGAGCUGGGACAUCUUCAACUACAUCAGGCUGUUCAGAACCACGUCGAGCCUGGCCUUGAAUCCUUGAAUGUUUCCAGAGAUGUCACGUCCACAACAUCCUAUAAGGAAGAAUCUUUUCCUUAUGGUCAAUAGGAACUUCCUUUGUUGCAACUUGUGACCAUUGCCUCUCAUGCUAUUUUUGCACAUCUGGGGAGUCUGAUUCUCUUCUACAUAAUCACUUAUAAUAUUGUUGAAGACAGCAGCUGAAUCCCCCUUAGCCUUCUCUUCUUCAGUCUGAGCACACACACUUCUCUCUGCCUCUGCCUGUAUGUCAUGUGGUCCAACUCUGUAAGUCAGUGGCUCUUGUCUGGACUUUCUCCAGUUUAUUGAUGUAUUUCUUGCAGUGG